This 514-nucleotide ribosomal RNA is filed under the name uncultured bacterium. Its description in RNAcentral is "bacterial SSU rRNA". It matches the Rfam family "Bacterial small subunit ribosomal RNA", at positions 32 to 518 of the family's 1533-position model. The record is from RNAcentral.
AACGCUGGCGGCGUGCCUAAUACAUGCAAGUCGAACGGCUUUUCUAUGGAAGCUUGCUUCCACUGAGAAGAUAGUGGCGAACGGGUGAGUAACACGUGGGUAACCUGCCCAUAAGAGGGGGGAUAACAUCCGGAAACGGGUGCUAAUACCGCAUAGUUUUCUUGAUCGCAUGAUCGGGAAAGGAAAGACGGCCUUUGUGCUGUCGCUUAUGGAUGGACCCGCGGCGUAUUAGUUAGUUGGUGAGGUAACGGCUCACCAAGACGAUGAUACGUAGCCGACCUGAGAGGGUGAUCGGCCACAUUGGGACUGAGACACGGCCCAAACUCCUACGGGAGGCAGCAGUAGGGAAUCUUCCGCAAUGGACGAAAGUCUGACGGAGCAACGCCGCGUGAGUGAAAGAAGGUUUUCGGAUCGUAAAACUCUGUUGUCAGAGAAGAACAAGUUGGAGAGUAACUGCUCCAGCCUUGACGGUAUCUGACCAGAAAGCCACGGCUAACUACGUGCCAGCCGCGGC